RNAcentral lists this ribosomal RNA (492 nucleotides) under uncultured bacterium. RNAcentral's name for it is "partial 16S ribosomal RNA". It matches the Rfam family "Bacterial small subunit ribosomal RNA", at positions 29 to 507 of the family's 1533-position model. The record is from RNAcentral.
AGUGAACGCUGGCGGUAGGCCUGACACAUGCAAGUCGAACGGCAGCACAGUAAGAGCUUGCUCUUACGGGUGGCGAGUGGCGGACGGGUGAGGAAUACAUCGGAAUCUACUUUUUCGUGGGGGAUAACGUAGGGAAACUUACGCUAAUACCGCAUACGACCUACGGGUGAAAGCAUGGGAUCUUCGGACCUUGCGCGAUUGAAUGAGCCGAUGUCGGAUUAGCUAGUUGGCGGGGUAAAGGCCCACCAAGGCGACGAUCCGUAGCUGGUCUGAGAGGAUGAUCAGCCACACUGGAACUGAGACACGGUCCAGACUCCUACGGGAGGCAGCAGUGGGGAAUAUUGGACAAUGGGCGCAAGCCUGAUCCAGCCAUACCGCGUGGGUGAAGAAGGCCUUCGGGUUGUAAAGCCCUUUUGUUGGGAAAGAAAAGCAGCAGGUUAAUACCCCGCUGUUCUGACGGUACCCAAAGAAUAAGCACCGGCUAACUUCGUG